This 757-nucleotide long non-coding RNA is filed under the name Chinchilla lanigera (long-tailed chinchilla). Its description in RNAcentral is "lncRNA (ENSCLAG00000025833.1)". The record is from RNAcentral. Lineage: Eukaryota; Metazoa; Chordata; Mammalia; Rodentia; Chinchillidae.
UCUGAAAUAUUUCCUGGUUCCCCAUAAAGAACUGAAUUUUGUCUUCUGUGUCUCUGUUCUAUAAUAGUGGACUCUAUAUUGUCACCUGUAGUAAAGGCUGCUGAUGUCACAUGCCAUAUCUCUUGCCUGCUUCAGAGUUCAUCUGUAGCUGUGAUGGACAGACCGCCUGAACUUUCAUCACUGAAUAUCCACUGGGAAUUCUUCGUGGACAUGAGCAGAGAUGCUAGCUUUGAUGUGUCACACAGGCUUGGACCAAGGGCAUCUGUCUGUGACCAGUAGGGACAGAUAUGUGGCUGCUCCAGAAAAGCGCUAUAUUCUCAUGUGACUUGUUGCACGGUACCAAGGACUUUGAUCACAGAAAUCAAGUGUCCAUUACUUUCUUGACCAUGCUCUGCUGGCAAGUUCCAGGGAGGACCAGCUCCCUGCCUGCAAGUUCCAGGGCUUAGUUCGCCGGUGCCACCACCCUGAUUGCUCCUGGAGGGAUGUCUUUCUGUGUCCCCACAGCUGCUACUACAUUCCCAUUUUAGCAGAGUGGACCAGAUGGCUCCCAUAGGUAAGUUGCUGCAAGAGGGAAACGACAGUGAUCAGGAUGAGGGUGCUGGUUAUACCAGCAGAGCAACAUCUACCCUCCCUGUUCCAGCAUUUUAAGUUUUCUGAAGCAGGUGACUAAUACUCCAAUAAUAUUAAACAUAGCACUGAGAGUAAGUUCCACUAGGAAGGCAGGAUUAUUUCCUUUGUUCAGUAUUAUAUUUCACCG